Molecule: small nucleolar RNA, 102 nt
Organism: Macaca fascicularis (crab-eating macaque)
Lineage: Eukaryota; Metazoa; Chordata; Mammalia; Primates; Cercopithecidae
Source: Ensembl
AUCCUUUUGUGGUUCAUAAGUGAUGAUUGGAUUUUCACACUCAUAUAUGAGAUGUGUCUCCCUUAAACCUUGUUACAACUUCAGCACAUUACCUGUUUGACA